GGUUCCGUAGCUCAGUUGGAUUAGAGCAACAGCCUUCUAAGCUGUGGGUCGCGCGUUCGAGCCGCGCCGGAAUCACCA
RNAcentral lists this transfer RNA (78 nucleotides) under Odoribacter sp. OttesenSCG-928-L07. Its description in RNAcentral is "tRNA-Arg". It matches the Rfam family "tRNA". From Rfam's summary of the family: Transfer RNA (tRNA) molecules are approximately 80 nucleotides in length. Their secondary structure includes four short double-helical elements and three loops (D, anti-codon, and T loops). Lineage: Bacteria; Pseudomonadati; Bacteroidota; Bacteroidia; Bacteroidales; Odoribacteraceae. The record is from RNAcentral.